UUGCCUACGGGUGGCUGCAGUGGGGAAUAUUGGGCAAUGGGGGAAACCCUGACCCAGCAACGCCGCGUGAAGGAAGAAGGUCUUCGGAUUGUAAACCUCUUUGAUCAGGGACGAAGAAAUGACUGUACCUGAAGAACAAGUCACGGCUAACUACGUGCCAGCAGCCGCGGUAAUACGUAGGUGGCGAGCGUUAUCCGGAUUUACUGGGUGUAAAGGGCGUGUAGGCGGGUCUGUAAGUCAGAUGUGAAAUCUCCGGGCUUAACUCGGAAGGGUCAUCUGAAACUGCGGAUCUUGAGUACUGGAGAGGAUAGUGGAAUUCCUAGUGUAGCGGUAAAAUGCGUAGAUAUUAGGAGGAACACCAGUGGCGAAGGCGGCUAUCUGGACAGUAACUGACGCUGAGGCGCGAAAGCGUGGGGAGCAAACAGGAUUAGAUACCCUUGUAGUCU
RNAcentral lists this ribosomal RNA (446 nucleotides) under uncultured Clostridium sp. RNAcentral's name for it is "bacterial SSU rRNA". It matches the Rfam family "Bacterial small subunit ribosomal RNA", at positions 335 to 796 of the family's 1533-position model. Lineage: Bacteria; Bacillati; Bacillota; Clostridia; Eubacteriales; Clostridiaceae. The record is from RNAcentral.